AUGUCCCAUCUCCUGCUGCCACAUGUGCAGGCAUAUGCAGGCCUGAACCCUGAGGUUCAUCGGAGUAGCCAGCUCUCUAACAGCAAUGACUUCCCCCAUCUCCAACUGCAGCAAGCUGAGCACAGCCCAGGCGUGUUGUAUGCAGCAGGCGGCUUAUAAGUGUUGUAUCCAGCAGGCGGCUUAUAUUGCAGCAGCUUCUGGCUGAGUCUCCAGUUCCCAACUCCCUGCAGAGGCACGGGGACUUAUGCACAACUGCUUCUGGUUUUCUAUAUUCUCUCAGGGAAUCUGAAGUAUUGGCUACAGAUCCAGGCUUGCCUGCCACUUCAAGGUACAGAGUGCCUUUAUAAGCUGGCCCUGAGAAAUGUCCAGUGUGUAGCUUCCACUUGUGCAUCCGGAGCUGUCACCCUGGACGAUCAGUCUUGGAGUGUGCAUUCAAUAAACCAACCCUGUUUAACUGA
RNAcentral lists this long non-coding RNA (458 nucleotides) under Mus spretus (western wild mouse). Its description in RNAcentral is "lncRNA (ENSMSPG00010046138.1)". The record is from RNAcentral. Lineage: Eukaryota; Metazoa; Chordata; Mammalia; Rodentia; Muridae.